This is a long non-coding RNA of Cyprinus carpio carpio, 448 nucleotides long. Lineage: Eukaryota; Metazoa; Chordata; Actinopteri; Cypriniformes; Cyprinidae. The record is from Ensembl.
CAGAAACACCAGAAGUAGGUUAUCAAGUAAUGUUUAUUUCAAUAGCACUUUAUACAAUACAGAUGAUUUCAAAACAGCUUCACAGUAUUAAACAGGAGAAUAUCAGAAACAAAUAUUCAAACUAGAAUCCUGGAAUCAGCUGAAUGCUGGAUUUGUGCUGACGUGUCUCACCUGUACCUGUAUGUUCCUCCUCCGUCUGUCCGCAGAUCCUCCGGGAGUGAAGCCUGAUGGUUAUUUAAGUGGCUGUUCAGCUCUUUAAUUGCAUGAGUGGCCGCUGUCGGAGCCUUUGCCCUGUUACCAUCACACACACUCUCACAGGGUCACCUUCUACCAUCAGUGUGUGUCGCCGCACAACACACAACGUCCCUGUGCUGAAAAUAUCAUCUAUUACAAAAGACAAGUCCAAUAUAAAGCAAAUAAAAUGAUCCGUUGCUCCUAAAAAUCCAAC